GAUGAACGCUGGCGGCGUGCCUAAUACAUGCAAGUCGAGCGAACAGAUAAGGAGCUUGCUCCUUUGACGUUAGCGGCGGACGGGUGAGUAACACGUGGGUAACCUACCUAUAAGACUGGGAUAACUUCGGGAAACCGGAGCUAAUACCGGAUAACAUUUGGAACCGCAUGGUUCUAAAGUGAAAGAUGGUUUUGCUAUCACUUAUAGAUGGACCCGCGCCGUAUUAGCUAGUUGGUAAGGUAACGGCUUACCAAGGCAACGAUACGUAGCCGACCUGAGAGGGUGAUCGGCCACACUGGAACUGAGACACGGUCCAGACUCCUACGGGAGGCAGCAGUAGGGAAUCUUCCGCAAUGGGCGAAAGCCUGACGGAGCAACGCCGCGUGAGUGAUGAAGGGUUUCGGCUCGUAAAACUCUGUUAUUAGGGAAGAACAAAUGUGUAAGUAACUGUGCACGUCUUGACGGUACCUAAUAAGAAAGCCACGGCUAACUACGUG
RNAcentral lists this ribosomal RNA (497 nucleotides) under uncultured bacterium. RNAcentral's name for it is "partial 16S ribosomal RNA". It matches the Rfam family "Bacterial small subunit ribosomal RNA", at positions 28 to 507 of the family's 1533-position model. The record is from RNAcentral.